RNAcentral lists this ribosomal RNA (235 nucleotides) under uncultured Eubacteriales bacterium. RNAcentral's name for it is "uncultured Clostridiales bacterium partial 16S ribosomal RNA". It matches the Rfam family "Bacterial small subunit ribosomal RNA", at positions 99 to 334 of the family's 1533-position model. The record is from RNAcentral. Lineage: Bacteria; Bacillati; Bacillota; Clostridia; Eubacteriales.
CGAACGGGUGGGUAACGCGUGAGUAACCUGCCUUACACAAGGGGAUAGCCUUUGGAAACGAAGAAUAAUACCCUAUAAAACUAUAAAAGCACAUGCAAUUAUGGUCAAAGUGAUAGCGGUGUAAGAUGGACUUGCGUCUGAUUAGCUAGUUGGUGAGAUAAAAGCUCACCAAGGCAACGAUCAGUAGCCGGCUUGAGAGAGUGUACGGCCACAUUGGGACUGAGACACGGCCCAG